This 369-nucleotide ribosomal RNA is filed under the name uncultured bacterium. RNAcentral describes it as "bacterial SSU rRNA". It matches the Rfam family "Bacterial small subunit ribosomal RNA", at positions 527 to 896 of the family's 1533-position model. The record is from RNAcentral.
GUAGGGUGCAAGCGUUAAUCGGAAUUACUGGGCGUAAAGCGUGCGCAGGCGGUGAUGCAAGACAGAGGUGAAAUCCCCGGGCUCAACCUGGGAACUGCCUUUGUGACUGCAUGACUAGAGUACGGUAGAGGGGGAUGGAAUUCCGCGUGUAGCAGUGAAAUGCGUAGAUAUGCGGAGGAACACCGAUGGCGAAGGCAAUCCCCUGGACCUGUACUGACGCUCAUGCACGAAAGCGUGGGGAGCAAACAGGAUUAGAUACCCUGGUAGUCCACGCCCUAAACGAUGUCAACUGGUUGUUGGACGGCUUUCUUCUCAGUAACGAAGCUAACGCGUGAAGUUGACCGCCUGGGGAGUACGGCCGCAAGGUUG